This is a long non-coding RNA of Astatotilapia calliptera (eastern happy), 479 nucleotides long. The record is from Ensembl. NCBI's taxonomy places the organism in Eukaryota, Metazoa, Chordata, Actinopteri, Cichliformes, Cichlidae.
GUGGGACUCGCUGGGAUUUCUGAAUAUAAGCUCAUUGCCGGUGUGUGAGUGUGUGUGUGUGUGUGUGUGAGAGAGAGCUGAUAAUAGCAGCUCCAUUGGUAUUCAGCGGAGGGAGCUCCAGGAUCUCGCUGCGCCUUUCCCCAGGAUGGGAUCACAGAGCAGGGAUUGUGCUUGCCUGUGGAGAGCCCGCUGAAAUGGAUCUGAAGCCUUGCAGAGAUGGCCACCAAAUGGACAGCAUGGAAGCCAACAUCCACCCUCCAGCGACCAGCUUUCCACAGCUAACUGCCUCCACCAUCUCCUGCCAUCAGCUCGAACCAUCCGAGCGAGGGCUGAGUCUGCAGAGUUGAGCCUGGACCAGCCGUCUACCGAAAGCAGAGAUAAGCAGAGGGCGACAGGCCUCGGAGGAGUCAACGCGCAACAAGCCAGUCGGCGUGUUGAGCGCACAAUUGAGCUUCUUGGACUUCAUCUAAAAUGAAAUA